GAGUUUGAUCGUGGCUCAGAACGAACGCUGGCGGCAUGCCUAACACAUGCAAGUCGAACGAUCCCUUCGGGGAUAGUGGCGCACGGGUGCGUAACGCGUGGGAACCUGCCCUUAGGUUCGGAAUAACUCAGAGAAAUUUGAGCUAAUACCGGAUAAUGUCUUCGGACCAAAGAUUUAUCGCCUUUGGAUGGGCCCGCGUUGGAUUAGCUAGUUGGUGGGGUAAAGGCCUACCAAGGCGACGAUCCAUAGCUGGUCUUAGAGGAUGAUCAGCCACACUGGGACUGAGACACGGCCCAGACUCCUACGGGAGGCAGCAGUGGGGAAUAUUGGACAAUGGGCGAAAGCCUGAUCCAGCAAUGCCGCGUGAGUGAUGAAGGCCCUAGGGUUGUAAAGCUCUUUUACCAGGGAUGAUAAUGACAGUACCUGGAGAAUAAGCUCCGGCUAACUCCGUGCCAGCCGCCGCCGUAAU
Molecule: ribosomal RNA, 469 nt
Filed under: uncultured Alphaproteobacteria bacterium
Lineage: Bacteria; Pseudomonadati; Pseudomonadota; Alphaproteobacteria
Description: bacterial SSU rRNA
Rfam family: Bacterial small subunit ribosomal RNA
Source: RNAcentral